RNAcentral lists this ribosomal RNA (950 nucleotides) under Enterococcus faecium. RNAcentral's name for it is "bacterial SSU rRNA". Lineage: Bacteria; Bacillati; Bacillota; Bacilli; Lactobacillales; Enterococcaceae. The record is from RNAcentral.
AUACAUGCAAGUCGAACGCUUCUUUUUCCACCGGAGCUUGCUCCACCGGAAAAAGAGGAGUGGCGAACGGGUGAGUAACACGUGGGUAACCUGCCCAUCAGAAGGGGAUAACACUUGGAAACAGGUGCUAAUACCGUAUAACAAUCRAAACCGCAUGGUUUUGAUUUGAAAGGCGCUUUCGGGUGUCGCUGAUGGAUGGACCCGCGGUGCAUUAGCUAGUUGGUGAGGUAACGGCUCACCAAGGCCACGAUGCAUAGCCGACCUGAGAGGGUGAUCGGCCACAUUGGGACUGAGACACGGCCCAAACUCCUACGGGAGGCAGCAGUAGGGAAUCUUCGGCAAUGGACGAAAGUCUGACCGAGCAACGCCGCGUGAGUGAAGAAGGUUUUCGGAUCGUAAAACUCUGUUGUUAGAGAAGAACAAGGAUGAGAGURACUGUUCAUCCCUUGACGGUAUCUAACCAGAAAGCCACGGCUAACUACGUGCCAGCAGCCGCGGUAAUACGUAGGUGGCAAGCGUUGUCCGGAUUUAUUGGGCGUAAAGCGAGCGCAGGCGGUUUCUUAAGUCUGAUGUGAAAGCCCCCGGCUCAACCGGGGAGGGUCAUUGGAAACUGGGAGACUUGAGUGCAGAAGAGGAGAGUGGAAUUCCAUGUGUAGCGGUGAAAUGCGUAGAUAUAUGGAGGAACACCAGUGGCGAAGGCGGCUCUCUGGUCUGUAACUGACGCUGAGGCUCGAAAGCGUGGGGAGCAAACAGGAUUAGAUACCCUGGUAGUCCACGCCGUAAACGAUGAGUGCUAAGUGUUGGAGGGUUUCCGCCCUUCAGUGCUGCAGCUAACGCAUUAAGCACUCCGCCUGGGGAGUACGACCGCAAGGUUGAACUCAAGGAAUUGACGGGGGCCCGCACAGCGAUCAGCAUGGUGGAUUAAUUCGAGCAACGCGAGUACCUACAGC